UAAGUAAUUCAAAUAUAUAGAUUUGCAAUAAACUUCAAAAGAUAGUACGUCUUGUACGUACUUACACAUACCUAUACAACAAUAUUCUAAAUAUGUGUACACAAUUGUUCAAAAAGUACUCUUACAAUAGUUCAAUAUAUUCUAGCAAAGAAUAUAUUUCACAAAAUCAAACAUAAUGUAUUCAAACUUUUACAAUAGUUCAAAAACUCUUUAUCA
Molecule: long non-coding RNA, 216 nt
Filed under: Solanum tuberosum (potato)
Lineage: Eukaryota; Viridiplantae; Streptophyta; Magnoliopsida; Solanales; Solanaceae
Description: long non-coding RNA (STUB_LNC009096)
Source: RNAcentral